RNAcentral lists this ribosomal RNA (1143 nucleotides) under Salmonella enterica subsp. enterica serovar Kentucky. RNAcentral describes it as "bacterial SSU rRNA". It matches the Rfam family "Bacterial small subunit ribosomal RNA", at positions 1 to 1136 of the family's 1533-position model. Lineage: Bacteria; Pseudomonadati; Pseudomonadota; Gammaproteobacteria; Enterobacterales; Enterobacteriaceae. The record is from RNAcentral.
AAAUUGAAGAGUUUGAUCAUGGCUCAGAUUGAACGCUGGCGGCAGGCCUAACACAUGCAAGUCGAACGGUAGCACAGAGAGCUUGCUCUCGGGUGACGAGUGGCGGACGGGUGAGUAAUGUCUGGGAAACUGCCCGAUGGAGGGGGAUAACUACUGGAAACGGUAGCUAAUACCGCAUAACGUCGCAAGACCAAAGUGGGGGACCUUCGGGCCUCACACCAUCGGAUGUGCCCAGAUGGGAUUAGCUAGUAGGUGGGGUAACGGCUCACCUAGGCGACGAUCCCUAGCUGGUCUGAGAGGAUGACCAGCCACACUGGAACUGAGACACGGUCCAGACUCCUACGGGAGGCAGCAGUGGGGAAUAUUGCACAAUGGGCGCAAGCCUGAUGCAGCCAUGCCGCGUGUAUGAAGAAGGCCUUCGGGUUGUAAAGUACUUUCAGCGAGGAGGAAGGCGUUGUGGUUAAUAACCACAGCGAUUGACGUUACUCGCAGAAGAAGCACCGGCUAACUCCGUGCCAGCAGCCGCGGUAAUACGGAGGGUGCAAGCGUUAAUCGGAAUUACUGGGCGUAAAGCGCACGCAGGCGGUUUGUUAAGUCAGAUGUGAAAUCCCCGGGCUCAACCUGGGAACUGCAUUUGAAACUGGCAAGCUUGAGUCUCGUAGAGGGGGGUAGAAUUCCAGGUGUAGCGGUGAAAUGCGUAGAGAUCUGGAGGAAUACCGGUGGCGAAGGCGGCCCCCUGGACAAAGACUGACGCUCAGGUGCGAAAGCGUGGGGAGCAAACAGGAUUAGAUACCCUGGUAGUCCACGCCGUAAACGAUGUCUACUUGGAGGUUGUGCCCUUGAGGCGUGGCUUCCGGAGCUAACGCGUUAAGUAGACCGCCUGGGGAGUACGGCCGCAAGGUUAAAACUCAAAUGAAUUGACGGGGGCCCGCACAAGCGGUGGAGCAUGUGGUUUAAUUCGAUGCAACGCGAAGAACCUUACCUGGUCUUGACAUCCACGGAAGUUUUCAGAGAUGAGAAUGUGCCUUCGGGAACCGUGAGACAGGUGCUGCAUGGCUGUCGUCAGCUCGUGUUGUGAAAUGUUGGGUUAAGUCCCGCAACGAGCGCAACCCUUAUCCUUUGUUGCCAGCGGUUAGGCCGGGA